GACGUAGGGCGCGAGCGUUGUCCGGAUUUAUUGGGCGUAAAGAGCUCGUAGGCGGCCUGUCGCGUCAAUCGUGAAAUUCUGCAGCUUAACUGUGGGAGUGCGGUUGAUACGGGUGGGCUAGAGUUCGGUAGGGGAGACUGGAAUUCCUGGUGUAGCGGUGAAAUGCGCAGAUAUCAGGAGGAACACCGGUGGCGAAGGCGGGUCUCUGGGCCGAUACUGACGCUGAGGAGCGAAAGCGUGGGGAGCGAACAGG
Molecule: unclassified non-coding RNA, 253 nt
Filed under: uncultured Actinomycetes bacterium
Lineage: Bacteria; Bacillati; Actinomycetota; Actinomycetes
Description: uncultured actinobacterium contains 16S-23S intergenic spacer region
Rfam family: Bacterial small subunit ribosomal RNA
Source: RNAcentral